RNAcentral lists this ribosomal RNA (459 nucleotides) under uncultured bacterium. RNAcentral's name for it is "partial 16S ribosomal RNA". It matches the Rfam family "Bacterial small subunit ribosomal RNA", at positions 338 to 795 of the family's 1533-position model. The record is from RNAcentral.
CCUACGGGUGGCAGCAGUGAGGAAUAUUGGUCAAUGGGCGCGAGCCUGAACCAGCCAAGUCGCGUGAGGGAAGACGGUCCUAUGGAUUGUAAACCUCUUUUGCCGGGGAGCAAAAGACGCCACGCGUGGCGUUCCGAGAGUACCCGAAGAAAAAGCAUCGGCUAACUCCGUGCCAGCAGCCGCGGUAAUACGGAGGAUGCGAGCGUUAUCCGGAUCUAUUGGGUUUAAAGGGUGCGCAGGCGGAAGAUCAAGGCAGCGGUAAAAUUGAGAGGCUCAACCUCUUCGAGCCGUUGAAACUGGUUGUCUUGAGUGAGUGAGAAGUAUGCGGAAUGCGUGGUGUAGCGGUGAAAUGCAUAGAUAUCGCGCAGAACUCCGAUUGCGAAGGCAGCAUACCGGCGCUCAACUGACGCUCAUGCACGAAAGUGUGGGUAUCGAACAGGAUUAGAUACCCUGGUAGUC